GGAGAGAUGGCUCAGUGGUUAAGAGCAAUGACUGCUCUUCCAGAGGUCCUGAGUUCAAGUCCCAGCAACCACA
RNAcentral lists this transfer RNA (73 nucleotides) under Mus musculus (house mouse). RNAcentral describes it as "tRNA-Ser". Lineage: Eukaryota; Metazoa; Chordata; Mammalia; Rodentia; Muridae. The record is from RNAcentral.